GUAAGUGACGAGAAAAAUGCUGUGCACCAGUCUGAACAAGUACUAAAUCUUUGUACUCUAGUACUAUGAAGCAUCAAGUAUACCCAAAUUUCUGAUA
Molecule: small nucleolar RNA, 97 nt
Filed under: Eremothecium cymbalariae DBVPG#7215
Lineage: Eukaryota; Fungi; Ascomycota; Saccharomycetes; Saccharomycetales; Saccharomycetaceae
Source: RNAcentral